CAGCAGCCACGGUAAUACAGAGGGUGCGAGCGUUAAUCGGAUUUACUGGGCGUAAAGCGUGCGUAGGCGGCUUUUUAAGUCGGAUGUGAAAUCCCUGAGCUUAACUUAGGAAUUGCAUUCGAUACUGGGAAGCUAGAGUAUGGGAGAGGAUGGUAGAAUUCCAGGUGUAGCGGUGAAAUGCGUAGAGAUCUGGAGGAAUACCGAUGGCGAAGGCAGCCAUCUGGCCUAAUACUGACGCUGAGGUACGAAAGCAUGGGGAGCAAACAGGAUUAGAGACCCCGUAGUCCCUGUCUCUUAUACC
This 301-nucleotide ribosomal RNA is filed under the name uncultured bacterium. Its description in RNAcentral is "partial 16S ribosomal RNA". It matches the Rfam family "Bacterial small subunit ribosomal RNA", at positions 509 to 808 of the family's 1533-position model. The record is from RNAcentral.